Molecule: ribosomal RNA, 498 nt
Filed under: uncultured bacterium
Lineage: Bacteria
Description: bacterial SSU rRNA
Rfam family: Bacterial small subunit ribosomal RNA
Source: RNAcentral
GAUGAACGCUGGCGGCGUGCCUAACACAUGCAAGUCGAACGGAGUUUAUAUUAUGAAGUUUUCGGAUGGAAUGAUAUAAACUUAGUGGCGGACGGGUGAGUAACGCGUGGGUAACCUGCCUCAUACAGGGGGAUAACAGUUGGAAACGACUGCUAACACCGCAUAAGCAUACAGUAUCGCAUGAUACAGUGUGAAAAUAUUUAUAGGUAUGAGAUGGGCCCGCGUCUGAUUAGCUAGUUGGUGAGGUAAAGGCUCACCAAGGCGACGAUCAGUAGCCGGCUUGAGAGAGUGACCGGCCACAUUGGGACUGAGACACGGCCCAAACUCCUACGGGAGGCAGCAGUGGGGAAUAUUGCACAAGUGGGGAAACCCUGAUGCAGCGACGCCGCGUGAGUGAAGAAGUAUUCGGUAUGUAAAGCUCUAUCAGCGAAGGGAAGAAAAGUGAACGGUACCUGAACUAAGGAACGCCCCGGACUAACCUACGUGCCAGCCAGACCC